Molecule: small RNA, 159 nt
Filed under: uncultured Clostridium sp.
Lineage: Bacteria; Bacillati; Bacillota; Clostridia; Eubacteriales; Clostridiaceae
Description: M-box riboswitch (ykoK leader)
Rfam family: M-box riboswitch aptamer (ykoK leader)
About the family: M-box riboswitch, also know as ykoK leader is described as a metaloregulatory RNA that sense divalent metals and function as a genetic control element of genes related to divalent metal transport in bacteria. It was first reported upstream of the B.subtilis ykoK gene and genes with related functions in other bacteria.
Source: RNAcentral
AAUAAUUUGUUAGGUGAGGCUCCUAUAAGGAAAGAUGCUGCUGCCCAGAAAAAUCUAGAGAUUCCAAUGGGUUAACAGGAAUCAUCGCUAAGGUGAUUUUUAAUGUAGCUGACUAUUAUUUAUCAUAGUCUACGCUUUAUAGUGCUAAAGCUCUACAAU